Molecule: ribosomal RNA, 253 nt
Filed under: uncultured bacterium
Lineage: Bacteria
Description: partial 16S ribosomal RNA
Rfam family: Bacterial small subunit ribosomal RNA
Source: RNAcentral
UACGGUGGGGGCAAGCGUUGUUCGGAAUUACUGGGCGUAAAGCGUGCGCAGGCGGUUAUGUAAGACAGAUGUGAAAGCCCCGGGCUCAACCUGGGAAUGGCAUUUGGGACUGCAAGGCUUGAGUGCGGCAGAGGAGACUGGAAUUCCUGGUGUAGCAGUGAAAUGCGUAGAUAUCAGGAGGAAUACCGAUGGCGAAGGCAGGUCUCUGGGCUGACACUGACGCUCAUGCACGAAAGCGUGGGGAGCAAACAGG